GCCAUCACCACUCCUGCCAUAGAUGAUCUCCACGUCUUCCUCGUCUGGUCUCGUCUCUCUGUGUAUGAGGACUUACCUGUCUUCAAUCAGUCUUCCCUAAAACCUCCACUACACACCUGUCAGCACCUGUAACAAACAACUGUUUAUGCUCAAGUGUCAGAGAUCAGAAUGACGAGGAGGAAGGAGGCGACGGUCACACUGAGAGAGAGAGAGAGAGAGAGAGAGAGAAACAGGAAAACAUGACAGGGAUCCGACUGGAAAAGGAUGAGCUCUCAUGCAUGAAGACAACUGCCCCGCGCUGAUAGAAGACAUGCUACAGAGUGUCAGACGUGCCAGGAUAGGAGGCUGGAAACAGCUUCACUAGAGAGAGCAGCUGCACGGCGCUCAGAAACAAAGUGGACAGCGUCCAAAACCACUUUACCAACUGGCCAGCUGGGACGAAAACCACAUCGAGCCGGCCAAGCUGUGUGACAUUAGUCCAGGAACAUUGGUCAUGAGUAACAGUAGGAUCAUGCACUGCACUCAGCUCAUGGACGCACAUAUGGCUAUGUCAUGUUCAGCCCUAAUGAAGAUAAAUG
Molecule: long non-coding RNA, 578 nt
Organism: Cyprinus carpio carpio
Lineage: Eukaryota; Metazoa; Chordata; Actinopteri; Cypriniformes; Cyprinidae
Source: Ensembl